AAGAAGAUAAGGGGUGAAAUUCUUUUGUUUAUUUUCUUUGCUGCCGAAAACUAAAAGAAGGGGGGCUAAAAGAAGAAGGGGAAGGGGCUGUUCGGCUAUGGGGGUUUAAUGCAUGUGUAAAUUUAUCAAGUGAAGAAUAGAUCGAGUAUCAACCGUGGGAAGGAAAAGAUCACUGAGUAGACAUCUGUCGUAUUUUGCACUGGGCGCAAACUCUUUCGCGAAUUAUCUGCUAGGCACCGGGUGCCGUGUAUCAACUGGACUAUACAAAAAGGUUUUAUGAACGAUCUAAGGAGGAUGGUUGUUAGGUACUCUAUUUUGAUUGCCGACGCAGCAUCCAACAACAACAAUCCCGAUCUCAAGUGUGGUGAUGUUUAAUUUUGUAAUGGCAUGUACCUAGGAUGUCUUUGGUUGUUAGUUGUUUUGGUGAAUGUGAUGUAAAUUGAGUUAUAAGUAUAUGUUUACGUUUGAAGCUAAAUGCUAGUAUUCGUUUUGACCAAAGGUUAAACAUGUGUAUGAAACUUAAAGUUU
Molecule: long non-coding RNA, 528 nt
Organism: Gossypium arboreum
Lineage: Eukaryota; Viridiplantae; Streptophyta; Magnoliopsida; Malvales; Malvaceae
Exons: 4
Source: RefSeq, a predicted model, not a curated record